CCCUUAGAUGUUCUGGGCCGCACGCGCGCUACACUGAAGGAAUCAGCGUGGCUUUCUCCCUGACCCGAAAGGGUUGGGAAACCCGUUGAAUCUCCUUCGUGAUAGGGAUUGGGGCUUGAAAUUGUUCCCCAUGAACGAGGAAUUCCCAGUAAGCGCGAGUCAUAAGCUCGCGUUGAUUACGUCCCUGCCCUUUGUACACACCGCCCGUCGCUACUACCGAUUGAACGGUUUAGUGAGGGCCUCGGAUUGGUCUCGGCCCGCUCUUUACCGGGCGGCGCCGUUGGUCGAGAAGACGCUCGAACUCGAUCGUUUAGAGGAAGUAAAAGUCGUAACA
RNAcentral lists this ribosomal RNA (334 nucleotides) under uncultured eukaryote. RNAcentral describes it as "partial 18S ribosomal RNA". It matches the Rfam family "Eukaryotic small subunit ribosomal RNA", at positions 1470 to 1796 of the family's 1831-position model. The record is from RNAcentral.